UCCUACGGGAGGCAGCAGUGGGGAAUUUUCCGCAAUGGGCGAAAGCCUGACGGAGCAAUACCGCGUGAGGGAAGACUGCCUAUGGGUUGUAAACCUCUUUUUUCAGGGAGGAAUAAAAUGACGUGUACCUGAAGAAUAAGCAUCGGCUAACUCCGUGCCAGCAGCCGCGGUAAGACGGAGGAUGCAAGUGUUAUCCGGAAUCACUGGGCGUAAAGCGUCUGUAGGUGGUUUAAUAAGUCAACUGUUAAAUCUUGAGGCUCAACUUCAAAAUCGCAGUCGAAACUAUUAGACUAGAGUAUAGUAGAGGUAAAGGGAAUUUCCAGUGGAGCGGUGAAAUGCGUAGAUAUUGGAAAGAACACCGAUGGCGAAAGCACUUUACUGGGCUAUUACUAACACUCAGAGACGAAAGCUAGGGUAGCAAAUGGGAUUAGAUACCCCAGUAGUCCUAGCCGUAAACUAUGGAUACUAGAUGUUGAACAGAUCGACCUGUGCAGUAUCAAAGCUAACGCGUUAAGUAUCCCGCCUGGGAAGUAUGCUCGCAAGAGUGAAACUCAAAUGAAUUGACGGA
RNAcentral lists this ribosomal RNA (568 nucleotides) under uncultured bacterium. RNAcentral's name for it is "bacterial SSU rRNA". It matches the Rfam family "Bacterial small subunit ribosomal RNA", at positions 337 to 917 of the family's 1533-position model. The record is from RNAcentral.